CUUGCUUGUGCAGCGAACUGUCUGCCACACCUCCCUCUUCAUUGUAAGCCUUGCUUGGGCAUCGUGAUACCACGGUUCCUGUGUUGCCUUCCUAAUGAAUGGAAUUGUCCCUCGAAUGAUGCUUAUCUCCGCCUAGCUCCCGCUCACGCGGUGCGAGCGGACCCUGAAAGCGGUCGCAUGUCCCAUGGUUGUCCCCCCACACACAUGCAUGCAUGCUUGCAUGUGACGGGUGGAGAGCAUGAUGCACGGUGGCUGUUGGUGCUCUUGGAUGCGGAACCUUAACACGGGCGUGUGGGGUCCUUGCAUCUCUUACUCGCCGAGCUAAACGUUCAUUGCUAGACGCGUACGACGGCUGCCACCGUCCUUGCCCUUCCCGUCCCGCCCCCUUCGAAGGGGCAGUCGGUCAGGCGCAUGCGGUGCCGGCGUCGCUGAGGAAUG
Molecule: unclassified non-coding RNA, 438 nt
Filed under: Ampelocissus sp. Barcelona 3492
Lineage: Eukaryota; Viridiplantae; Streptophyta; Magnoliopsida; Vitales; Vitaceae
Description: partial external transcribed spacer
Source: RNAcentral